GAUGAACGCUGGCGGCGUGCCUAAUACAUGCAAGUCGAGCGAACAGACGAGGAGCUUGCUCCUCUGACGUUAGCGGCGGACGGGUGAGUAACACGUGGAUAACCUACCUAUAAGACUGGGAUAACUUCGGGAAACCGGAGCUAAUACCGGAUAAUAUAUUGAACCGCAUGGUUCAAUAGUGAAAGACGGUUUUGCUGUCACUUAUAGAUGGAUCCGCGCCGCAUUAGCUAGUUGGUAAGGUAACGGCUUACCAAGGCGACGAUGCGUAGCCGACUUGAGAGGGGGAUCGGCCACACUGGAACUGAGACACGGUCCAGACUCCUACGGGAGGCAGCAGUAGGGAAUCUUCCGCAAUGGGCGAAAGCCUGACGGAGCAACGCCGCGUGAGUGAUGAAGGUCUUCGGAUCGUAAAACUCUGUUAUUAGGGAAGAAAAAAUGUGUAAGUAACUAUGCACGUCUUGACGGUACCUAAUCAGAAAGCCACGGCUAACUACGUG
RNAcentral lists this ribosomal RNA (497 nucleotides) under uncultured bacterium. Its description in RNAcentral is "partial 16S ribosomal RNA". It matches the Rfam family "Bacterial small subunit ribosomal RNA", at positions 28 to 507 of the family's 1533-position model. The record is from RNAcentral.